ACACAUUGGUUUCCUUACCUAUGGAGUGAGGGCUAUUAUGGUGGAAAAGGCCAAGUAGAAGCCACUAGAACUAUCUGUACUUAGGAAAAUAGUAAACCAAAAGCAAUGCUCAAUUCCUAUAGGGACUGAAGAGAUUAGUGCCACCAUAAGUACUUGAAGGAAGGCGGGGUGGUGAUUCCUACCAUAUGUCCAUUCAACUCGCCUAUUUAGCCUGGGCAGAAGACAGAUGGAUUAUCACAAACUUAACUAGGUGGUGACUCCAAUUGCAGCUACAGUACCAGAUGUAUUGCUUGAGCAAAUUAACACAACUCCUGGUUCCUGGUAUGCAGCUACCUGGUAUGAUCUGGCAAAUGCCUUUCUCUCCAUCCCUGUCUAUAAGGCCGACCAGAAGCAGUUUGCUUUUAGCUAGCAAGGCUAGAAAUGCACCUUCAUGUCCUACCUCAGGGCAUAUCAACUCACCAGCCCUGUCCUAAUUUUGUUCACAGGAAUCUUGAUUGCCUUUUCUUUCCACAUCACAUUGGUCCAUUACAUUGACGACAUUAUGCUCACUGGACCUAAUGAGUGAGACAUAGCAACUACUCCAGACCUAUUGCUUUUCUGCAUGGAAGAAUUAAAUUGAGAAAAACAUAGUUAUUUAAAAAAUCACAUCGUAACUGAGUUAACAAGGCACUCAGGUUCUAAUCAUAGAUUACCUUCCUUCUUCAUCUUCCAGCUGUUUUCUAAAGUCUUCCUCCUGUUGCUUGAGUUGGUUCUGCAAAUCAGUUAUUUUUUGAAGAAAAGAAACUGUGAUUUCUUUAAUU
Long non-coding RNA from Homo sapiens (human), 800 nucleotides. Ensembl annotates it as HMMR antisense RNA 1. Its record names the gene HMMR-AS1. NCBI's taxonomy places the organism in Eukaryota, Metazoa, Chordata, Mammalia, Primates, Hominidae. The record is from Ensembl.